This is a long non-coding RNA of Myotis daubentonii (Daubenton's bat), 8988 nucleotides long. RefSeq lists it as uncharacterized. NCBI's taxonomy places the organism in Eukaryota, Metazoa, Chordata, Mammalia, Chiroptera, Vespertilionidae. The record is from RefSeq and is a predicted model, not a curated record.
ACAGACUAGUAAUACUAGACUCUGUCUGCUUAUGGUGACGACUUACUCAGAGAUACAGAAAGUCACUAAAUAAAAAGCUUUAUUUCAAGGUUGCCAUAUAAAUACUUUGCAGUUACCUGUGCUGUUAACCCCAAGAGCUUGGAUCAGGCUCUCCUGACACAUCAGAGAGGCUGCCGAUGCCCCACAGUCCUGGCCAGGGCCCGCCCCUGAGCCCCAUGAGAAACGGCUCUCAUCAGACUGCGAGUGUCAGCAAAGGGGUGGGCGUGAGCAUGACCCUGAGCCUGACCUUGAGCCCCGACCACACACCCCAUGCUCUGCAGAGCUGGCUAAGAAUCACUGCUGUAGCACAGCAUACUCGCCAAUGCUAUGCAGAGAAUGGGAGCGUUUUGAGAGGCAACCACACCCCCAUGAGCCUUCUCCACAGCCCGAGUGAGAUGACCCAGAGGAGCUGCAGGAGCGGAGGAGGGAGAGCUUAACACUCCGUGCUCACGCAGUCGGUCAAGAACAACCCAGGUGCUCACCAACUGUCGCAACAACAAGAAGCUCCUGGGCGGAGCGACACGGUGCUGGAGAAGUGAAGGAGAUGUGGCCCGAGGGCCCCGAGAGUGGCGAGGCAAGAAGUCCAAGCCAGUCCACAAGGAACCUGCGCAGGGACUCGGCCUUUGUGGUCCUGCGGAACCCACUCAUCGCUGGCAAGUAGGGGUUCCUCCCUGCUGUCAAAUUCACUCCCCCGUCCUGCAAAGACCUGCCCUUCAACAGGACAACAAUAAAAUCCUGUGUUUUUUCUAGUGGGGAAAAAAUGAUGGUAAAAAUAGUCUUUAUGGGCAAUUCAAAAAAAUUCUACAAGAUGGAGACCUAGGCCUCUCGAGAAAGGCCUCUGAAAGGUCACCAUGAAUUCAGAUAUCCUAUCCCUCUCCACCAUGCCCUUUGCAGAACAGGAAACCGGGUUAUCUUCCAUGGAAAAGGGAAAAGGCUUUCUUAUUGAAUGGCUCUGUAAUAGGGUUUUCUUGCUGCUUCACAUCACAAAUACUGGCCACGCUCACCUGUCACCUGAAUGACUAACCCUUCCCCAAUUAGGAUUGGUGCUGGCAAAGUGCCAGCGUGGCAUUCCCUUGGCAACUCCAGCGAAGAUUUGAGCAGCGGCAAGGUUACGAGGGGAAGUUACAAAAGACUCACCUUAGAACGCACAAAAGUAGGCAAGACAAUGGUUUCCCUGACUGUGGGCAUAACUAGCAUUUAAACAAGGGUCGUAAGUAGGAAAAAAGGGACAUAAGUGAGUCUUUACAUUGGGGGUGGGGGGACUCUUGUUUAUCUCUCCAUGUUUCACUACCUUCAUCAUGGAAGUUUCCUUGGAUUGCUAGAAUCUAUCUGAGAAACAAUCCUCAGCAGGUCUGAUACAAAGGAAGAUAUGGUAUUUUAAAAAUACUACCACCACCACACUAGCUGGUUUGGCUGAGUGGAUAGAGCAUCAACCUGCGGACUGAAGGGUCCUGGGUUCGAUUCCAGUCAAGGGCAUGUACCUCGGAUGCAGGCUCCCAGCCCUGGUCAUGGGCAUGUAGGAGGCAACCAAUCGAUGUGUCUCUCUCACAUCAGUGUUUCUCUCUGUCUCUCCCUCUCUCACUCUCUCUAAAAAUCAAUGGAAAAAUAUCCUCAGGUGAGGAUUUAAAAAAAAAAACACCACCAUCACCUCCUAUGAUCCAUCCCUCGCCCCAAAAGAGAGAGGAGCAGGGAAGGAAAGAGGGGGAGGGGAAAAGGGCGGAGAGAAAGGAAAGCGGAGCUCCUACCUGCCCUCUGGUGGGCAGGUCUUUCACGCUGUCGGGUUUGAAGAAGGUGAAGUCGACCAUGGCCUGGAACAAGGAGACGGCCUUCUCCGCGUGCCCGGCCUGGCGCAGGAAGUGGCACUGCUGAAGAAAGAGCGCUGAACGCGGCAGAGAACUCUGGUUAACACCGAGGAAAAAACAACCUGAUUCCUAAGAUACAGUAAAACACCGAGAACAUCUCCCUGAAAUCAGUUACUGCUGAAAUUUCUAAGCUGUGAUACCUACAUGUCCUGAUUUAAAAGGACUCACAACAGCUCUGUAAUCAAAGUAUAUUCAUUUAAUUUUUAUAUAAAACCACCACAGAAUACUAAUAUUAACAAUAAAAACUACAUAUACAUAAGUGUAAGGCAAGAGGUUGGUCUGAAUAUUGUUAUCAAAAACUCAAAGGAUUGUUUCUCAGACAGAUUCUAGCAAUCCAAGGAAACUUCCACAAUGAAGGUGGAGAACCAUGGAGAGAUAAAACGAGUCCCCCCCAAUACAAAGACUCACUAAUGUCCCUUUUUUCCUUUACUUAUGGCCCUAGUUUAAAUGCUAGUUAUGCCCACAAGAAGAUUUCUACUAAAGGAUGGCAUGGUACAUUUUUUUUUUUACCAGAAAGCCAAGACCCAUGCUCAGUGGAUCACUAGAUGGCAUUAUUCACCAGCAAUUUUCAUCCUGUGCUCAGCGUCAGCUGUAACCAAAUCAAGGUUCCACGCCUGAACAUUUCAGUUUGCCUUAAGUGUGGUGCAGUUCCACUUACUAAGUCAUGUUGAGCUAGUUGAGCAUAUCACAAAUGAUAGCACACACGAGGCUUGUUAUGCCAGUGUGUAAAUGCUUGUUCUCUCUAGAGCAGUGGUUCUCAACCUUGGCUGCACAUUAGAAUCACCUGGGAAUCUUUUUAAAAUCCUGAUUUCUGGGCCUCAUCCUCCGGAAAUUCUGUUUCUUUGUUAUGGGGUGGGGCCACAACAUUAGUAAGAAAGAAACAGAAUUUCCGGAGGAUGAGGUCCAGAAAUCAGGAUUUUAAAAAGAUUCCCAGGUGAUUCUAAUGUGCAGCCAAGGUUGAGAACCACUGCUCUAGAGCAAUAUAUUUACAUCUUUAGAAGUUCACUGUAAUCGCAGGGUUUUGACCCAAUAACUGCCUGUGGUGUGCCAGACACUGAGCUAGACUCACCAUAUAUUUUCACCAUAUAACCCUGUAAGCAGGUAGCAUACUAUCGAUGCUGAGGGAGAAACAAGAGCUUAAACAGGUUAAGGAACUUACCCAAGGUCAUACCAGAACCACUGAAGGGCAAGCCCAGGAUUCAAGUCAAGAGCGACAUUCUCUAGCUCCUGCAUAACAUGCUGCCUCUGAUAUGUCACUACUGGACAAAUUUAUAUUCUAGGCUCCUUCGGGACACACCAAAAGGCUAACCAUAUAAUCCCAGUAACCUCUAAACUGAUGCAAAGAUUUCCAGUCAGUGAGGACAUCCCACAAGCAUUACUGCCCGAAACCCUAGGACUGGAGGUGAUGAGCAGCACAGGUACCUCAACAGACCAGGCCGUUGGCAGCCAAAGUUAUGAGUGUUGACUGUACCUCCCUGGUUAAUAACCAGAGAAGCUGAAACUUCUAGGCCAGGGAUAAUUUCCUAACUCUACUGUCUCUAAUGCCCUUACCACCACCACCAAGAAGCUGGAGGGGGAAGAAUCCAUCAUGGUCAAAAGGAGUCAAAAUAGUUUUUUUCUUGAUUAAUCAGUUUUAUCAAUGUAUCAAUCAGGUUUAUCAACUUCGACUCUUUUAAAGUAAAUCAAAAUAAAUCUUCAUUUUCAAUGAAAGUCAAAAGCAUUAUUCCCUGCCCAACAGGUGUGGCUCAGUGGUUGAGCACUGACCCAUGAACCAGGAGGUCACGGUUCAAUUCCCAGCGAGGGCACCUGCUCAGGUUGUGGGCUCAAUCCCCAGUAGGAGGCAUGCAGGAGGCAGCCAAUCAACGAUUCUCUCAUCAUUGAUGUUUCUAUCUCUCCCUCCCUCUCCUUUAAUUAAAAAAAAAAUUUUUAAAAAGGCAGCAUCAUUCUCCCACGUAAAUGGAUCUGGUCACCAUCUCCUUACCAAACAUGGCCUCCUCGGUGCCAGGCAGCUCAGGGUGAGACAAGAUGCUGCCGUCCUUCACAGCAGACAAUGUACUCAAGCACUUCCCAUAAAGGCUGUGAAUUUUUGAUAUUGAAAAGGUGCUGAACUGGCUCUGGCAAAACAGAAGGUAUUUCUGCCAAAGGGCUGUAUUGUUGGGGUGUAGGAAUAUCAGCUUCUGCCACUCUUUGACCAGCGUGGAGGGCUCCCAGAACUCCGUGCAGAGCUUCAGCUUGGCGAGCUUCAGGUCCACGCUGCUCGGGUUGCUGUCGAUGGCCCGCUCCAGAAUGGCCAGCUUCUUCUCCAGGAUGAGCUUCAGGGACCGCUUCCGCUUCUCCUGCUCGCCUUCCUCGAUGGCAUACAGGCCAGGGCUCCUCAUGACCUCGUCCUCAACAACAAAAACACCCAUUUACAAAUGCACGGGGAACUGCACCUCCGGAUCCCAGCUGCCCACACGCCCCAGAGGGUUCCUCAUCUCUCAAAAGGCUCUGCUAUUUGGACUUUGUUGAUAACCACUAGUGUAUCACAAUUUCUCCUAAUGGCAGCUCAGUUCCUGGGGUACCUGUGCCACCUCGUAUACUGAUCUUGUAUUUAUUUCACCUGACUGACCUGCCUAUUGGCAUUUAAAACUUAGAUUUAUGUAUCAAUAACUAGCAUGCAAUGCCUUGAAAUCCUUUUCUGGAAUCAACUUGACCAUUAAAACAGUCAAAUGAGGGACAAAAUAUAACUGUAUAAGUUGUUCAAAAAAAUGUAGGUGGAACUAAGACAACCCAUGUACUUUAGAAAGGGCGCACGUAGCCCUAAGGAGGUAACUCAACGAGCAGCCCUUCUCUCCACAUUCUGCGCUCUCCGCGUGGUCUGUCUGCACUUCCCCAAGGCCUCCCCCUCCUGGCGAGCAUCCACUCUUCCCUCAAGAUUCUGCUCAGAUCUCACCUUCUCUUGGAAACCCUUUCUUACUCUCUAUGGCAAGUCACUCCCUCACUCCAUCCCCGAAUUACACGUGAAGGCGUUUACCUCCCCAGAUGCAUGGCUCUUCACACGCCAGUCCUCUCCCUGCACUCUGGGCACGCUCAGGGCAAGGGCUAUAGCGUAAUCAUCUUUACAUGCCCAGUGCCUGGGUUCCUCCUGGGAGCUCACAGGGCACAUCGCUUUGCCAACAUGAGCACUGCCGUGCUAUGUGAGGCAGGAGGGGGACGGUGAUGCUUACCUGAAAAGCGACGAACGCCAUCCACAGCUGAGUAUCCCGAGGGUUCUCCCGCACCCUCCGGUUGAACUCCUCCACCCUGGCCUUGAGAAGCGCGUCCUCACGGUCCGGCUGGGAGUCUGGCUGCUUGGAUUCCUGCUCCGAAGGACCUUGUCCCUGUAACCACUGGGUGGUGGAUUGAUCAUAAAUCCCCAGAGGGUUCAGCCAGGUUGUAACAGGAGGAGCCACAUCGUCCGAGUCCUUCACUGGGAUGAAGGAGAGGGGCGCAGACGAGGGAGGGUCAGUUUGACUGCUCACGGCGACUCCGUCAGCGUUCAUCAGCCCCACGUUCUUCUUCGUGAAAUAGCGCUCGAUGUGCUUCUGCGCACGCUUCUUUCCCGUGGGAGCCCCCUCCCAGGAUAUGCACUGCUUCUUAGGGUUAAUGCCAAGGCAGGAGUCUCCUUUCCUCUUGUAUCUUAAGUAUGAAAAAGAAAAAGUUAUUGAGGAAAUAUGUGCACUAACUCUGAAUGGGUGAAGGCUCAUCACACUUAAAACUCUUGUUAUGCAAGUUAAAUGCAUAUGUGCAAAUUCACCUUACCUUCAAACUGUCUCUACUGAGGAAAAUAGGAGGAUUAGCAGUGAACUUUUUCUGUCCAUGUAACUUAUUCCUCUAACACUUCAAGUCUCCGUUGACGUCUCACGAAUUUAAGCUCAUGCCUGCCUCCUGGAUGGUGGUAAUUUACACUUCCCUGGAGCUUUGUAGUUCAAGUCCUGUCACCUACAUUAUGUCGUUUGAUCACAAUCACAGGCGACAGGCAAGGCAGGAACCAUCAUCCCCCCCUUACUGUUCCUAAAUAAGGACACUGAGACCUCAGGUGACACCAAGUCAUCUGUCUCCUUUCCCUCAGUGUGGUCCUGUGUCCCUACUUAAAAAGAUAACAUAUAGGUCUAAGAUUCUUUUUUAAUCCUGAAACUAAGUGUGUCAAAUAAAAUUACAUCUGGCUAUUUUCUCCUCGGGAGGAAAAGAGGCUGGGUUCUGAAAUGCUUUUAUGGAACGUGUAGGCGUCCCCAGAGUUAGGAACACAUGACUACCGACUAGCUGCACAAAAGCUCAGGAAAAUGGUGCACUUCUCUGUAUACAUGUUAUAUAAACAACCCAAUUUAAAAAUGGGCAAAAGAUCUGAACAGAACUCAUAAAAGAAGACAUGAACGGCCAAUAAGCACAUGAAAAAAGUGUUGGACAUCAUGAGUCAUCAAGGAAAUGCAAAUUAAAACCACGAAGAGAUAGGCCACAUACCCUUCAAAACAGCCAAAAUUAAAAAGACUGACAAUAUCAAAUGUUGGUGAGUAAUCUGCGGAGUAACCAGGACCCCCAUAUGCUGUCGAUGGGAAUAUACACUGGUACAAGCACUUUGGGAAAAGGUCUGGCAGUUUCUUUAGAAAACUAAGUAUAGACCUACCCUAUGACCCAGUAAUUCUAUUCCUAGGUAUUUACCCAAGAAAAAGGAAACCACAUGUCUACACAAAUACUUGUGCACAAAUCUUCUCAUAAGCUUAUUCACAACAGCCAAAUACUGGAGGGAGUCCAGGUGUCUGCCAACUGAAGAAUGAAGAACCAAACGGUGGUAAAUGCUACGACACGGAUGAAACUCAAAACCAUUUCGCUGAGUGGAAGGAGCCAGACACGAAAGAGUACACACUAUCUGAUUCCACUGAAUAUGAAAUUCUAGAAGCAACCAAGCUAACUGAUAGGAAAAAAUUAGAACGGUGUUGGCCUCGGGGGAGGUGGGGUGUGGACUGACUGGAAAGGAGCCUGAGGAAACUUUCUGGGGUCACAGUGAUGUUCUCUCCUUUCACAGAGGUCUGGGUUAUCCAGGUGCAUCCCUCUGUCACACUCAGCAAAUGAAGAUCUGUGUAUUACAAUAUAUGCAAAUUUUAAAUCAAAAGAGAAAUAAAUGAAACAAAUCUUCGAUUGUAGUUAAUGAUAUCCAUGCUAAAGUAUUUAGGGGGUAGUAUAUUGAUGUUGUCAAUUUACUUUGAAAUGCAUCAAAAACUAAUAUGGGUUGAUGAAUGAAUGGACAGAUAUAUGAUAAGGCAAAUAUAAUAAAACUAGAGGCCCGGUGCAUGAAAUUCAUGCACAUGUAGGGUCCCUAGGCCUGCCCAGCGAUCAGGGCUGAUCAGGUUCCCUGCCUCCCCGCCUCCUCCUUCCCUCGCAGCCCAUGCCGCCACCCUCGCUCCCUCAGCACCCCACCACCACCGCUGGUCACUUGCCAUAUUCCACACCACUCCCUGGUGGUUAGUGCAUGUCAUAGCAAGCAAUCAAGCUCCCGGUUUCCCGGUUGAACUCCCAAGGGGACAAUUUGCAUAUUAGCCUUUUAUUAUAUUGGAUAAGAUGAAAGAAUGUAGGGGGCAGGUAUAUGAGUGUUCACUGUAAAAUCCUUCCAACUUCGCUGUAUUUUUUUACAUUUUCAUAAUAAAGUGCCAAGGGGAGAAAACACAGGAGAGACCCGCUGCCAUCUUCUAUCAACUCCCAACUCCCGGGAGCUCUGCCCCCUCCCCCUGUGGCUGAGCCAGCACCUCACUGGCUUCCCACUGUCAACAGGUACCCGAGAAGCUCUCUGCUUGCCUGUGCUCCCUCGCUGCCCAGGUGCAGUGAGUCCACUUUGGGGGAAAAGUGUCUCACACACACGUACGAGCUGUCUCUCAAACCCUUCUCUUCAUCCUCUCCCCCAGCUUCUCCUAGAUUAUCUCCAAAGAACCUCUCUCCGUUCCAUUUAUGAGUUAAAAACAACUUUAACAAUAGGGUGAGGAGAUAAAACAGUGCUACAAUUGCUCUAAAUGAGCCUAUCAUUCCCUAAGGAACAAAUUUUAAGUAAAAAACUAGUUUUUUUCUCCUUAAUUACUAUUUUAUUUUCACUAAAAAUUAAUAUUUUAGAAAUUCAUAUAUCCAAAACAGGUUUACUGAGUUUUCUGAAUUUAAAACUGCAUUUUGUAAAACUAAUUUUAAUAGCUGCAUUUCAUAACAAAUUCAAUGAAAAUGAUAAAGGAGAAAAAAUAAUAUUACUGGUACAUAUUUUUAAGCAUCUUCUUUCAGAUAUAUGGGUAUGUAUAGAUUUAUAUGUAUAUAUACACAACCCAGAUUAAAAUAGUUAUAAAGCUUCAGACUUUUCUUCCUAUUUUUCAAGUAUUUUCCCACACUAUUAGUCUUAAUAUAUGUAAUUUUUAUUGGCUUUGAACUGGUCCAUUUAGAGGGGUAUGCCAUAGUUUAUUUAACAAUUUCCAGGACAUUUAGGUUGUAGCCAAUUUAUCAUUUAUCAGAGAAUCUUAUUAACUGGACAGGACCUCUUGGCCUUAUAUCCCAUGAUUCUCUGCCUUCUCUUUUGAUUACCUGUGAGCUGUUUGAGAACAGAGACUGUAUAUUAUUGUUCUUUAUGUUCCCAACAGUGUCUCACAAAGCACUAAGUACCUAAAAGGUUUAAUACGUAUUCAAAUAUUUUUUAUUAACAGAUUAGAGGAGAAAAGCUUAAACUCAUUACUGAAGCAAAUAUCAUCACCUGUUUUAUGAUUAUCUAGUGAUGUAUGCUGAAAACAUUUUGGAAAAGUCAUUACCAUUUAAGGUCAUUUUUAAAAUGGGAGUGGGGGAUGGAUAAAUAAAAGGCUUUUGCAACUUUUUAAAAUGGCAUAUAGGUUAGAGCAGUGGUUCUCAACCUUCCUAAUGCCGCGACCCUUUAAUACAGUUCCUCAUGUUGUGGUGACCCCCAACCAUAAAAUUAUUUUCGUUGCUACUUCAUAACUGUAAUUUUGCUACUGUUAUGAAUCGAAAUGUAAAUAUCUGAUAUGCAGGAUGUAUUUCCAUUGUUACAAAUUGAACAUAAUUAAAGCAUAGUGAUUAAUCACAAAAACAA